This 497-nucleotide ribosomal RNA is filed under the name uncultured bacterium. Its description in RNAcentral is "partial 16S ribosomal RNA". It matches the Rfam family "Bacterial small subunit ribosomal RNA", at positions 28 to 507 of the family's 1533-position model. The record is from RNAcentral.
GAUGAACGCUGGCGGCGUGCCUAAUACAUGCAAGUCGAGCGGACGGACGCUACUCUUGCUUCUCUCUUGUUAGCGGCGGACGUGUGAGUAACACGUGGAUCACCUCCCUAUCAGUCUGGUAUCACUUCGGGACACCGUCUCUAAUCCCGUAUAAUCUUUUGCUCCGCAUUGUUCAAUAGAGAAAUACGGUCUUGCUGUCACUUCUCGCUGCAUCCGCGCUGCAUUAGCUAGUUGGUACGGUAACGGCUUACCAAGGCUACGAUGCAUAGCCGACCUGAGAGGGGGAUAGGCCACACGGGAAGUGAGACAGGGUCAAGAGUCCUACGGGAGGCAGCAGUAGGGAAUGUGCGGCAAUGGGCGGAAGCAUGACGGAGCAACGCCGCGUGAGUGAUGAAGGUCUUCGGAGCGUAAAAAUCGGUUAUGAGGGAAGAACAGAUGUGGAAGGAAAUGUGCACAGAGUGACGGUAAAUAAUAAGAAAGCAACGGCUAACUACGUG